RNAcentral lists this long non-coding RNA (515 nucleotides) under Rattus norvegicus (Norway rat). RNAcentral describes it as "long non-coding RNA NONRATT025337". Lineage: Eukaryota; Metazoa; Chordata; Mammalia; Rodentia; Muridae. The record is from RNAcentral.
UGAAAAUGAGUGCGACUCGGCGUUUAAUAAAGGUAGCCAUGCUGAGCAGGGCUUCGGAGGACAGGCUCGGAAGGGAGUGGGCCGGGGAAGCCACACGCCCAGGAACCCUUGGCUGGGCACAAAAGGAAACUGACCGGGACUCACCUGGGUCACGGCUGCCACCCUGCGGACAGGAAGCUUGGAAGGUGUAUUUUUGUUUUUACCUGCAUGUCUGCAUCAAGUGCGUGCAGUGCCUGUGGAAGCUGAAAGAGGUCGGACGCAUUGGAACUGGAGUUACAGAUUGUUGUGAGCCACCAAGUGGGUGUUGGAUUUCCAGUUAGCACCAUGGCUCAGUGGGUAGAGAAGCUGAAAAGCCUGGUCAUCUGAGUCUGAUCCCUGGAACCCACAUAAAGCGGAAGGAAGGAAUCCAGUGCACAGAACCGUCCUCUCACUUCCACACGAGUGAUUUUGGCCCCCGCGUGUGCACACACACUGCGUUUACAUACACAACAAUAAGUAAAUCAGCUAUAGUUCUU